UCCCUGGUGGUCUAGUGGCUAAAACUCUGCACUCUCAUUGCAGGGGUCUUAGGUUCGAUCCCUGCUCAGGGAA
This is a non-coding RNA of Odocoileus virginianus texanus, 73 nucleotides long. The record is from the annotation of a RefSeq genome assembly. NCBI's taxonomy places the organism in Eukaryota, Metazoa, Chordata, Mammalia, Artiodactyla, Cervidae.